GCGCCCACUCGACGUGCACUGGAGGGCGGAGGUCAGGGCUGGGCGGAAGCCGAGCUGGGCUCCGUCCAGCCUGGGGGGGGGAGCGUGCGCCGAGCCCAGCCUUGGAGAGCCCUGCUCCAGCCUGUUACGCCCGCCCCGCCUCCUGCGCAGACCCGCAACGGCGUAGAUGACACUUGCAGAUACCUGGGCCAGCCCUGCACCCAUGCUGUCCUUCCUCGCCCAGCCACCCACGGUGUGGCCACUGGCCAGGAUGACCUCCUUAACCCCCAGAGGGACACUCGUGUUCUCGAGGGGCGCUCAUGCAGUCCCGUGGAGGACCUGCUGAUCUCAUCCUGGAAACGCCCCAGGGAUCCCAAGGGGCCUUAGAGCACCUCUGCCAUAACAAGUGACCCUAAGGGAAGUUUGAGGUCCUUGCCGACUGGUCAGAACUGCCCUCCUGUGGUCAUACAGACUCACUGUUCGGCUGUGACUCACAGGGUUGUGUCUGGGCCAGACCAGAGUGCCGCUCACAGAGGAAAAUCCGAGUGUCUGCCCUGUUCUCACCUGUGCAGCCCCAGGGAGGUGGGGGGCCGUCCCCACCUGCUCUGCGACCCUCUGUGCUCCAUACGACCGCCUUGCCUUGCAGCUAAGCCCUGCGCCCCGCUGUUGGAAACCAGCUCCCCGCCGGCCUCCUGGAACCGGGCUCUCCACCAGAGCAGGACUUGCAGGGAACAAAGUCCACGCUUCCGGCAGAAACCCCAGGGUCUCCCCUGGACACUUGGCGACGUUGGCUUGUGGCCACCCGCCCGCCUGCCUCUAUCAGACGCUGAAGAAGCGGAGCGCAGGUUCUUCUUAGUCGUCAAUUUUAUACACAUCAGUGUAUACACGGUUUUUUUUACCAGUUGGGUUUCAUGGCCCAGCGAGGACACCCCCUCCCUGUCAGAUGCAGCCCGAGGGCCCGCCAGGGGGGAACGGCCUUCCUUCCCUCACAGCACCUGCACGAGGUCGGGUCCGCGGUGGAGGCUGAUGGAAAAGCGUCAGGAGCCCCCGUACAGUGCGGCCCGGGCACGCUCCUCCCUGGGGGUCUCU
This is a long non-coding RNA of Physeter macrocephalus (sperm whale), 1068 nucleotides long. RefSeq lists it as uncharacterized. The record is from RefSeq and is a predicted model, not a curated record. The transcript is spliced from 3 exons. NCBI's taxonomy places the organism in Eukaryota, Metazoa, Chordata, Mammalia, Artiodactyla, Physeteridae.